Molecule: transfer RNA, 89 nt
Filed under: Kocuria rhizophila
Lineage: Bacteria; Bacillati; Actinomycetota; Actinomycetes; Micrococcales; Micrococcaceae
Description: tRNA-Sec
Source: RNAcentral
GCACGCGGGGGCCCUCGGAGGCACAUGGCCCGCGGUCUUCAACGCCGCGAACGAGCAGGCGGUCCACGCGUUCCACCGCGGCGCGCUCG